Molecule: ribosomal RNA, 498 nt
Filed under: uncultured bacterium
Lineage: Bacteria
Description: partial 16S ribosomal RNA
Rfam family: Bacterial small subunit ribosomal RNA
Source: RNAcentral
AGUGAACGCUGGCGGCAUGCUUUACACAUGCAAGUCGAACGGUAACAGGCCGCAAGGUGCUGACGGGUGGCGAACGGGUGAGUAAUGCAUCGGAACGUGCCCAGUCGUGGGGGAUAACGCAGCGAAAGCUGUGCUAAUACCGCAUACGAUCUAUGGAUGAAAGCGGGGGACCGUAAGGCCUCGCGCGAUUGGAGCGGCCGAUGUCAGAUUAGGUAGUUGGUGGGGUAAAGGCCUACCAAGCCGACGAUCUGUAGCUGGUCUGAGAGGACGACCAGCCACACUGGGACUGAGACACGGCCCAGACUCCUACGGGAGGCAGCAGUGGGGAAUUUUGGACAAUGGGCGCAAGCCUGAUCCGGCAAUGCCGCGUGCAGGAAGAAGGCCUUCGGGUUGUAAACUGCUUUUGUACGGAACGAAACGGUCUGGGUUAAUACCCUGGGCUAAUGACGGUACCGUAAGAAUAAGCACCGGCUAACUACGUGCCAGCCGCCGCCGUAA